This 489-nucleotide ribosomal RNA is filed under the name uncultured bacterium. Its description in RNAcentral is "partial 16S ribosomal RNA". It matches the Rfam family "Bacterial small subunit ribosomal RNA", at positions 30 to 506 of the family's 1533-position model. The record is from RNAcentral.
AUUGAACACUGGCGGCAGGCCUAACACAUGCAAGUCGAACGGUAACAGGAAGAAGCUUGCUUCUUUGCUGACGAGUGGCGGACGGGUGAGUAAUGUCUGGGAAACUGCCUGAUGGAGGGGGAUAACUACUGGAAACGGUAGCUAAUACCGCAUAACGUCGCAAGACCAAAGAGGGGGACCUUCGGGCCUCUUGCCAUCGGAUGUGCCCAGAUGGGAUUAGCUAGUAGGUGGGGUAACGGCUCACCUAGGCGACGAUCCCUAGCUGGUCUGAGAGGAUGACCAGCCACACUGGAACUGAGACACGGUCCAGACUCCUACGGGAGGCAGCAGUGGGGAAUAUUGCACAAUGGGCGCAAGCCUGAUGCAGCCAUGCCGCGUGUAUGAAGAAGGCCUUCGGGUUGUAAAGUACUUUCAGCGGGGAGGAAGGGAGUAAAGUUAAUACCUUUGCUCAUUGACGUUACCCGCAGAAGAAGCACCGGCUAACUCCGU